CCUACGGGAGGCAGCAGUGAGGAAUAUUGGUCAAUGGACGAGAGUCUGAACCAGCCAAGUCGCGUGAAGGAUGACUGCCCUAUGGGUUGUAAACUUCUUUUAUAUGGGAAUAAAACGUUCCACGUGUGGGCUUUUGUAUGUACCAUAUGAAUAAGGAUCGGCUAACUCCGUGCCAGCAGCCGCGGUAAUACGGAGGAUCCGAGCGUUAUCCGGAUUUAUUGGGUUUAAAGGGAGCGUAGGUGGAUUGUUAAGUCAGUUGUGAAAGUUUGGGGCUCAACCGGAAAAUUGCAGUUGAUACUGGUAGUCUUGAGUACAGUAGAGGUAGGCGGAAUGCGUGGUGUAGCGGUGAAAUGCUUAGAGAUCACGCAGAACUCCGAUUGCGAAGGCAGUUCACUGGACUGCAACUGACACUGAGGCUCGAAAGUGUGGGUAUCAAACAGGAUUAGAUACCCGAGUAGUC
RNAcentral lists this ribosomal RNA (460 nucleotides) under uncultured bacterium. RNAcentral's name for it is "partial 16S ribosomal RNA". It matches the Rfam family "Bacterial small subunit ribosomal RNA", at positions 338 to 795 of the family's 1533-position model. The record is from RNAcentral.